This 70-nucleotide transfer RNA is filed under the name Lolosia transversalis. Its description in RNAcentral is "partial tRNA-Ser". Lineage: Eukaryota; Metazoa; Arthropoda; Insecta; Coleoptera; Elateridae. The record is from RNAcentral.
UUAAAGAAAUAGGUAAAUCAAGGAAAAGCUUCUAACUUUAACCUUUAGCAGAAAAACUGUUAAUAUUUCU